AAUUCUAGAGCUAAUACAUGCCACUAUGCCCUGACCCGCAAGGGAACGGGUGGAUUUAUUAGAACAGAACCAACCGUCGGUGGCUUCGGUCACUGGCGUUGCAUUCUGUGAUGACUCUGGAUAACUUUACUGAUCGCAGUCGGCCUUGUGUCGGCGACGGAUCUUUCAAAUGUCUGCCCUAUCAAUUUUCGAUGGUAGGUGACCUGCCUACCAUGGUGAUAACGGGUAACGGGGAAUCAGGGUUCGAUUCCGGAGAGGGAGCCUGAGAAACGGCUACCACUUCCAAGGAAGGCAGCAGGCGCGCAAAUUACCCAAUCCCGGCACGGGGAGGUAGUGACGAAAAAUACGGAUACGGGACUCAUUAGAGGCUCCGUAAUUCGAAUGAGUACAAUUUAAAUCCUUUAACGAGGAUCAACUGGAGGGCAAGUCUGGUGCCAGCAGCCGCGGUAACUCCAGCUCCAGAAGCGUAUAUUAAAGUUGUUGCAGUUAAAAAGCUCGUAGUUGGAUCUGGGUCGCAUGGCUACAUGCCGUUGCUCGUAUUCCUGGCCUGGUUCACACCGGGACGGGUUUGUGAGUCGGUGUCGUGGUUGUGCAGCCUUUCUGCCGUGUCUGUUUCGACAGGUGUUGGCAUGAUUGGUGGGUUCGUCCUGCUGAUCUGUUGACAUGCUUCCAGGUGCCCUUAACCGGGUGUCGGGGGCGGACGGCACGUUUACUUUGAACAAAUUUG
RNAcentral lists this ribosomal RNA (727 nucleotides) under Euryhelmis costaricensis. RNAcentral describes it as "SSU rRNA". It matches the Rfam family "Eukaryotic small subunit ribosomal RNA", at positions 154 to 769 of the family's 1831-position model. Lineage: Eukaryota; Metazoa; Platyhelminthes; Trematoda; Opisthorchiida; Heterophyidae. The record is from RNAcentral.